AAAAAUGUUAAUACUAUCAUUAAUGAUGUUUUUUCUUUAAGUGUGAUGUUAAUGAAUGAAAAAAUUUGGAAUAUUUUUCUAUUCUGAUUGCUAUUGGGACAUAGUUUAUAUUUUAUGUGUGGUGUGUAUCAUCACGUAUUUUCACAGAGAAAUGUCUGUAUAUGUGGAAAAACCUGAGUAGGUCAUUGAAUUUUUCACAUCUUUAUGAGACGAGUUGAUGCAAACUAUGACAUGGCAUGGAUUGUUCAAAUAGAUUUUUUAUUAAAAGUUUUUCACUGAAUCAUACAGAACAUUAAAGUCUGAAGAUGUCAAUGGAACUAUUUAAUAAAUCUACAUCCCUUGCUUUAAAGAAAUUCUAGCUCAAGAAUAGAGAGUAAAAUGUUCAAGACUAAAUAUUAGAAAAAAAAAACAGAAAAAAAAACAAGAAAAAAUUUGGUCAACAGGCAUAAUAUAGCACAAAUAAGAAAUUUCUCUUUCUUCCACACUCCUCUCUUUAAGGAGCCCAAAUGUUUCCAGCCCCAGCUCUAUUCUUGGUGACAUGCUGUAAAGGCCCCCAUUUCCAAAGCCAAUUCAUGGUCCCUGUUCGCUGCUGAAAUUUCAGCAUUUAGUUAUUUGUUUUAAGUAGCAAGGAGAGGAGGUAAAAGGAUUCUUAUUAAGAGCAUUUUCUGGAAGUUGCACACCCUGCUCUCCUUAUAUCCAUCACUAGAAUUUAGACAUAUGGUCAAACCUAAAGGCAAGGAAACCAUGUGCCAAGCUAAAAAUUGUGAAGAAAGUGAGAAUAGUGAUUAGGGGAUAAUUAACAGCCUCUGCCACUCAGGAAGCUAGUUAAAGCAGAGCUUGAAAGUUAAUUCAGCUUCUUAGAAUUCCUGUGUAUCCUUUCUUUGUCACAUUUCCACUUAUUAUGUGAAUAUACACAGGUUCUGCACUAUGAAACUCUUCAAAGCUUACGUUGAAAUCUCCCCUCUCUCUCAAAGCUUUUCCUACCUACCAAAUGUCUCCAAAUGAUGAUUUAUGUCUCUCUGAAUUUCCAUGUUUUCAGUCUACACCACAAAGUCUCGAUGUUAUUGUAUUAUGGGUACUUCUGUUUGUAUGCAGACUUUUCCCAACUGCAUCCCUGGCUUCAGAAGGGCUGAGAGCAUCAUGUUACUACAGAUUAUUCAUGCCUGAGUGGAGUGUCAGCUGCAGAAAUAGGAGGUUUAAUGAGUUUCAUGGGGAUACCUCAUUCCAAGAACAAAACCUGGAAAAGGAAUAAAACACAAGUGUCUGCAUACUAAUAUGGGCCAUUGUUGGAGCUGAUCUCAGGAGCAUAAGAUGAUAGAUAGUCCCGACCAAUACACAUCUCCUUUAGAGAGGCCUUUAGUUCCAAUUUGGUUUUCUUUUUAUAAGUUAAUCUCCUACAGACACUGUGCUAACGCUGAAUAUAUAAACGACAAAUAUCCAAAGGGAGAGGUUACCACUACUCUACCCUGAAUACUGCAUUACUCUGCACCUGCUCAGGUUUUAUUUUAGACUGUUGCUUUGUUCUCCUGCUCUUUUCUUUCACUCUUUUUUUUUUUUUUUAAGAACCAUUGUUGUUUGAAAUAGAAAUGGAUGCCAUAAGAACAAACAUUUAGCUUAUUAGCAUUCUACACAGACAUUCUUUUUCUAUGAAAAAGAGCCUUAAUUUACUUUGGUAAAGAUAAUGCAUUAUAAAGUACCUUUUUUACAUAUUUAAUAUAUGCUAUGUCGUGCUAGUCUGUUGGGACAGCAAGCAAAGUUAAUUUAAAAGAGUGAAAUUUAAAGUUGAUCUAUGAAGUGCAUGAAACAUGGAGAACUAAGGCAAUUAUUUGUGCUUUUCAGAUUAAAAAUUCCAAUAUAAAUAAAUAAAAAACAAGUGAUUUGGAUCUGUAUAAUUUAGAUACAUUGUUUUGUGUGUGGUUGUGUGUAUUUUGUGUGUGUGUGUAUGUGUCUGUGUGCGUGCAGUAAAAUACAUGGAAUUACAAUUCGGUUUUAUAUUUCAUAGUAAAAUUCCAACAAAACACUUCCAAAGUACACUACAUUUCUUAAGCCAGGUGAAAUUUUUGAAGUUAUAUUAUCCAGUGGUAUUCAGGAUUUCAUUAACUCGUCUGCAACACAAGGGAAAAUACUGUUUUUUUUUAAUUUUAAACGUUGUUUUGAACUACAUUCAACACUUUGAGAUAGAUAGUCUCUAAAUUUCCUAAUUGCAUCAGAUUUCAAAGAGAAUGAACUUCAUUCAUUAAAUCGGAAUGAUGCUGAUUCCUCCACACAUAAAAGAGUACUCUGAUGUGGUGCUUGGGUAACAAUGAGGAAGGAGAUAGGCCAGAGAGACAAAUGGGAAUCUACAUUAAUUUAAUGACUAAUUCCUGUAGAGCACUUUAUGUGUUAUUUAUAUUAUUUUUGUGGUUGAUGUUAUCCCUUGUAAUCCAUCCCCUCGUCUCUUCCUUCCUCCCUUCUUUCCUUCCUUUGCAUUUUUUUUUUCUUUUUGGCAAAUGACUUGAGAGAAGUUAGCAGCUUGAUCAGUAUGCAUGUUUAGUAAGUGUCAGAGUCCGGAUUUGAACUUCAUGACUAUAAAAAUUAAUUUCCUAUCCAACAUACCGUGCAACAAGAAGUACAUGGGGAGUUUUGGCAGAGGGUGAUUAGACGUGCAAAUGUGUCCAAUAAAGCCACACAUUUGUUCUCCCUGUUCUUCAGUGUUCUAGAGGAGGAAUUAAUGUAUUGCUAACAGCAUGUAUCUAUGGAAUACAAUUUCUUGGAGAAUUUAAAGAUGUGAACUACUAGUACUAACGAGGCCAUAUAGUGCCUUAGAAUUUACAAAAAUAUUUUGUAUGAUUUACAUUACUUCUUGAGAGGUUUUGGGUUUUUUUGUUUGUUUGUUUGUUUGUUUUUUGGUCAUGGUUUCUAGUCAUGGUUUGCAUUUCCUCAGUCAACAAGCCAGUAAGGAAAGUAUUAUUAAACAGUUUUGAUAGAGGGACGCCUGGGUGGCUCAGUUGGUUGGACGACUGCCUUCGGCUCAGGUCAUGAUCCUGGAGUCCUGGGAUCGAGUCCCACAUCAGGCUCCCAGCUCCACGGGAAGUCUGCUUCUCUCUCUGACUGUCUCCUCACUCAUGUUCUCUCUCACUGUCUCUUUCUCAAAAAAAAAAAAAAAAAGUUUUAAUAGAUUAAAACACUGAGGUUCAAACUGAGCCAUUCAUAGAUUUAUCAGAACUCAAAGGUCUCCAAAUGUCUAGUCCCCUAAACUCCUAUUCUUCCACUAUCCCAAGGGACUAUUAAAUACAUCAGAGAUGGAAGACAGAGAGUCAAGAGCCCAACAAUGAUUUCAUGUUAAGAAAAUGAGACAGUGGGGUGCCUGGGUGGCUCAGUCAGUUAAGUAAUCCCACUUCAACUCAGGUCACGAUUUCAGGGUCCUGGGCUUGAGCUCCAUGUUGGGCUCCCUCUUUGGCGGGAAGUCUGCUUCUUCCUCUACUCCUCCUCCCCACUCAUGCUCUCUUUCUUAAAUAAAUAAAGUCCUUUAAAAAAGGAAAAUAAGACAAUUAUUGCAAUUAUUCAUACUUUCCAAAUUCCUUUUUUUUUUUAAGAGUCACUCAAGUAUUUGGAUUCUAAAGCAUCCAAAUAAUUCUCUCAAGCUUUCUUUUCACUUCACCGAAUUAAUUAAAUGAAAAAAAAUACUUCUCCAUCAAAAAUUUUAAAUUAGGUAAGUAAAUAUUAAAGAAAUACUCUUUAAAAUUUCUUG
RNAcentral lists this long non-coding RNA (3730 nucleotides) under Mustela putorius furo (domestic ferret). Its description in RNAcentral is "lncRNA (ENSMPUG00000026384.1)". Lineage: Eukaryota; Metazoa; Chordata; Mammalia; Carnivora; Mustelidae. The record is from RNAcentral.